Molecule: ribosomal RNA, 433 nt
Filed under: uncultured bacterium
Lineage: Bacteria
Description: partial 16S ribosomal RNA
Rfam family: Bacterial small subunit ribosomal RNA
Source: RNAcentral
AACGAACGCUGGCGGCAUGCCUAACACAUGCAAGUCGAACGAACCCUUCGGGUCUAGUGUUGCACGGGUUCGUAACGCGUGGGAACAUGAACUUAGGGUCGGAAUAACUCCACGAAAGGGGUACUAAUACCGGAUAAUAGCUAAGGACCAAAGAUUUAUUGCGUUUGGCUGGACCCGCGUUGGAUUAGAUAGUUGGUAGGGUAAAAGACUAAUAAGGGGACGAUUAAUAACUGGGCUGAGAGGAAGAUCAGCCACACUGGGACUGAGACACGGCCUAGACUCCUACGGGAGGCAGCAGUGGGGAAUAUUGGACCAUGGGCGAAAGGCUGAUCGAGCAAGGACGCGUGAGUGAUGAAGGCCUUAGGGUUGUAAAGUUCUUUUAACCGGGAUGAUAAUGACAGUACCGGGAGAAUAAGCCCCGGCUAACUCCGUG